CCAGGGGGCCGGGCGACCGCGAGUGCUUCAAACAUUCGAGGAAAGUCCGGGCUCCACGGAACGACGGUGCCGGGUAACGCCCGGCCACUCCUUUUCAGGGGUGAGGGACAGUGCCACAGAAAGCAUUCCGCCCAUCUUCGGGUGGGUCAGGGCGAAAGGGUGCGGUAAGAGCGCACCGCGCGCUCGGCAACGAGGGCGGCACGGUAAACCCCACCGGGAGCAAGACCGAAUAGGGGUGUCAUUUGGGCCAGUUCCGGCCCGACGCCCGGGUUGGUUGCUCGAGCCGUGAAGCAAUUCACGGCCUAGACGAAUGGUCGCCUAUUCCCCGCGUUUGUUCGUGGGGAUGGACAGAACCCGGCUUACAGGCCUCCUGGCGCU
RNAcentral lists this RNase P RNA (378 nucleotides) under Sphingomicrobium clamense. RNAcentral's name for it is "RNase P RNA component class A". It matches the Rfam family "Bacterial RNase P class A". From Rfam's summary of the family: Ribonuclease P (RNase P) is a ubiquitous endoribonuclease, found in archaea, bacteria and eukarya as well as chloroplasts and mitochondria. Its best characterised activity is the generation of mature 5'-ends of tRNAs by cleaving the 5'-leader elements of precursor-tRNAs. Lineage: Bacteria; Pseudomonadati; Pseudomonadota; Alphaproteobacteria; Sphingomonadales; Sphingomicrobiaceae. The record is from RNAcentral.